AGGACGAACGCUGGCGGCGUGCUUAACACAUGCAAGUCGAGCGGUAAGGCCUUUCGGGGUACACGAGCGGCGAACGGGUGAGUAACACGUGGGUGAUCUGCCCUGCACUUCGGGAUAAGCCUGGGAAACUGGGUCUAAUACCGGAUAUGACCUCCUAUCGCAUGGUGGGUGGUGGAAAGAUUUAUCGGUGCAGGAUGGGCCCGCGGCCUAUCAGCUUGUUGGUGGGGUAAUGGCCUACCAAGGCGACGACGGGUAGCCGACCUGAGAGGGUGACCGGCCACACUGGGACUGAGACACGGCCCAGACUCCUACGGGAGGCAGCAGUGGGGAAUAUUGCACAAUGGGCGAAAGCCUGAUGCAGCGACGCCGCGUGAGGAUGACGGCCUUCGGGUUGUAAACCUCUUUCAGCAGGACGAAGCGCAAGUGACGGUACCUGCAGAAGAAGCACCGGCUAACUACGUGCCGAGCAGCCGC
RNAcentral lists this ribosomal RNA (474 nucleotides) under uncultured soil bacterium. RNAcentral's name for it is "bacterial SSU rRNA". It matches the Rfam family "Bacterial small subunit ribosomal RNA", at positions 26 to 518 of the family's 1533-position model. The record is from RNAcentral.